ACCUCGAAGGCUUAUCGCGGUGGGGAAAGAUCCAGCACAACAGUCCUAAAGGGUAUUUCCAUGGUGGAGGAUGCUCUGGCGGUGCAGCUGUGGGAACAUCAGGUAUUUUCAGAGGGUGUGAGGAGGGAGAUGGCAACUCCACCUCUUCGUCUCAGUGUCUGUCAAUGAGAGCCCACCUUGAGAGCCCCACGCUCUCAGCAGGCUCACCAGGCUGUUAGUAACCGGUAGAGAAAAGGAGGAGCACAGACAGAAGCUUCCUGCCCAGAGUCACCCAGGACGGCCCCCGCCCAAGGAUGGACCCCAGCCUGGAACUGGCUCCAGAAGCAAAGGUCAUUUCAGGUGUUCAAAGACCCCCUGAAGCCCCACCUAAGGGUCCUGUUAAGAACCUCUGCUCUGGAGAAUAUUAAAAUGUUGAGCCUCUGUUUUCUAAACUGUGAAGAGGAUAUAGCACUCACUCCCAGCCAGCUUCGUGGAAGAGAAGGAAGAGGCUACAUAGACCUGUGCUGUUAAAACAUAUUGGUUCUCUGCCUGGCAGACAUGUAAUAUUGAUGCAGUUCUAUUACCAU
Long non-coding RNA from Homo sapiens (human), 566 nucleotides. The record is from Ensembl. NCBI's taxonomy places the organism in Eukaryota, Metazoa, Chordata, Mammalia, Primates, Hominidae.